RNAcentral lists this long non-coding RNA (316 nucleotides) under Hordeum vulgare. RNAcentral describes it as "long non-coding RNA (HVUL_LNC018582)". The record is from RNAcentral. Lineage: Eukaryota; Viridiplantae; Streptophyta; Magnoliopsida; Poales; Poaceae.
CUUCUUAUUUUUUUCUUAUUCUCUUCUUCUUUUCUUCUUCUCUUCUUCUUCUCUUCUUCUUCACUUCUUCUCCUUCUUAUUUUUUUCUUCUCUUCUUCUUCUUUUUCUUCUUCUUCUCCUUCUUAUUUUUUUCUUCUCCUCCUCUUCUUCUUCUUCUUCUCCUCCUCCUCCUCCUCCUACUCCUCUUCUUCUUCUCCUCUUCUUGUCCUCCUCCUCAUCCUCUUCUCCUCUUCUCCUCCUAACUAAAUCUACUAGCCUAACUAAAACUACUAACCUAACUAAAUCAACUAAGCUAACUAAAACUACUAACCUAACU